GAUGAACGCUGGCGGCGUGCCUAAUACAUGCAAGUCGAGCGAACGGACGAGAAGCUUGCUUCUCUGAUGUUAGCGGCGGACGGGUGAGUAACACGUGGAUAACCUACCUAUAAGACUGGGAUAACUUCGGGAAACCGGAGCUAAUACCGGAUAAUAUUUUGAACCGCAUGGUUCAAAAGUGAAAGACGGUCUUGCUGUCACUUAUAGAUGGAUCCGCGCUGCAUUAGCUAGUUGGUAAGGUAACGGCUUACCAAGGCAACGAUGCAUAGCCGACCUGAGAGGGUGAUCGGCCACACUGGAACUGAGACACGGUCCAGACUCCUACGGGAGGCAGCAGUAGGGAAUCUUCCGCAAUGGGCGAAAGCCUGACGGAGCAACGCCGCGUGAGUGAUGAAGGUCUUCGGAUCGUAAAACUCUGUUAUUAGGGAAGAACAUAUGUGUAAGUAACUGUGCACAUCUUGACGGUACCUAAUCAGAAAGCCACGGCUAACUACGUGCCAGCAGCCGCGGUAAUACGUAGGUGGCAAGCGUUAUCCGGAAUUAUUGGGCGUAAAGCGCGCGUAGGCGGUUUUUUAAGUCUGAUGUGAAAGCCCACGGCUCAACCGUGGAGAGUCAUUGGAAACUGGAAAACUUGAGUGCAGAAGAGGAAAGUGGAAUUCCAUGUGUAGCGGUGAAAUGCGCAGAGAUAUGGAGGAACACCAGUGGCGAAGGCGACUUUCUGGUCUGUAACUGACGCUGAUGUGCGAAAGCGUGGGGAUCAAACAGG
RNAcentral lists this ribosomal RNA (766 nucleotides) under Staphylococcus aureus. RNAcentral's name for it is "bacterial SSU rRNA". It matches the Rfam family "Bacterial small subunit ribosomal RNA", at positions 28 to 776 of the family's 1533-position model. The record is from RNAcentral. Lineage: Bacteria; Bacillati; Bacillota; Bacilli; Caryophanales; Staphylococcaceae.